ACCACCGCUGCUGCUGCUGCUCCCACCGCCAGUGCCACCACCGCCACCACCGCUACUGUAACUCCUGCGUGCCGUUUUCGUCGUGCGAGAGGACCAGCUACGAUCCUCCUAUCUCCCCACCUACCACACGCAAAGACUUAUAUUCUAACAAACAAUAAGCAAAACGUUUACCUUCUAUUAAGUUCCACUUACGGCCGUCCGAUUUGUCGUCGAGCUUUUUUCUCCUAUUCGUACUAUGCCACCUCUUUUCACCGACGGGUAGUUUGCCGUUGUUUUUUAAUGGACAUACGAUCCGUUGGUUUCCUCUUCUAUUUAAUUAUUAAGGUUUUAUUAUCGACUAUGUAAACACGAAUUCCGAUCGUAUCUACGAAGAAUUUCUUGUUGCUUAAUUAAUCUGGAAGAAAAAGAAACGCACAUUGAUAUGCCGCAUGAGCCAGUACUACCAAUUUUGAAAACCGUAAUUUAUUAUAAUUGAAGACGAAUAUAAGCGAGUUUCCGAUACUGUCGAUGGUGAAUGACUUUACGCGAGGUGCAAAUUCUCCUACGUUAUUCGAAAUCUUUCCUCCGGUCGGGGAAACUCGUUUGUGAAUUUUUCUCCGAUCCCGGUUGCGCGUUUCAAAGUCAACCCUAUAAAUUAUGCGUCCUGUUAAAGUAAUCUUUUUAUUCUGUUCGGUGACGCCUCUUUCUCCUUUCUUUCUCUUUCGAGGCGAGCGUGGAAUUUCAAGAAACGAUUCCACGCGUAAUGUCGUUUUUCGUGAAAAUAAAAGUGUGGCGUCAAAGCAGUCGCGAAAUACGUCCAGUUCUGUUACAACCGUUAAGGCAGGUGCACGUUUGAUUUCUUUACAGCCGCGGGUGAACGACAAUUUAUGGUAAUGUAUGCGCUGGCCACUGUCCUAUCCGAUUUCCGUAUUUAAUUAAAAUCUGAACGAAUACACGGGUCCCCUUAUUAGCCGCUAACAAAGCUGAUUUUCGUAUCAUCUCUAGGAAUGACAAAGAGAACGAGUCACAUGAGUGCGUGUGAUCGUUUGCGUACGAUCCGCUGGCAUUCGCCUUAUAUCGAAAUAAGCGAGAUAAAUUUCAGACAGAUUGAAUGACGUGUCCUCGGUUUAAUCACCUGUACGAACAAUACAACACAUUAUAUUCCGUUGAAAUAACGCGUUCGUUCGAUCGUACUUCAUUAUUUGCACGCAAACAUUAUACCCGUAUUAAUAACCUCAAAUGUCAGAAUCACUGCACGUACCUUUGUUAAGAAACCUUCGCGUUAAUUAUUCCUGGGACAACCAACACGACUCGCGUUCACGUGUGCCUGGAUUAACGUUUUUGUAAAUUUUCUGCCGGCUACAUAAAUCUUAUCGAUAAAUUGCAAUUAUCUUGCCUGCACGAAACUCUUCGGUACUUUCAGGUAUAUCGCAUGAAUCACGUUCCGUGCCAUACAUUCUUGGAAAGUUAUAAACUAAUUUAGAGGAAAAAGGUAGAAAAAUGGAAAAAAGCGACAUUGAAGAAAAGGGGAAGGAAAGAAGACUUACUAAAUUUCGAAUAUCCAGAAUAUUCCUCGAUACGAAGAAAUUACAACCUUUCUUUGAAAGCCAUUGUUUCCUGCAUUUCCCGCCAAUUUUGGUAGCACAGCGAUCGUACAAGUAUUUGAUUGGUUGGUUGACAAUGUUGUAAGUACUACAUAUCUGUCGGCGUGAUCUGUAACGUUUUGAAAGCAAUUUAUUAAUAUUCUCGUCGAAAUAAUGAAUUGUAUUUGAAAAAUAUAUACGACGAUAAAUUUAUCGCAUUACCAUAUACGUUGGAUUACUGAUGAGGGUGACAGGUAUGGUAUCAAACAUACAUUCAUUAAAAUCCUAUUUAAUUUUCGUUUCAAUUGAAAUAUAAUGAGGAAUCUGCAUGCUAUCAUAAAUGUAAUUAUUUGUAAAAUGUAAUUGCAUAAAUUGCGUUUGUUGUUCGUAAAAUUAUUCGUGACUGUAGUAACUUGAGAAUUAUUGAGGAUAGCACGAAAAUUUAAGCAAAUACGAUAAAGAUUGAAUAGAUAACAAAACAUCUUGAAUUAUACAAUAACUAAAAGGCUGCUAUUUGAAAUAUGUUACAUAUUUUAAGGUAUAAAUUUAAUAAACAUGCUUACCUACAACUUACAACAUUCGAUGAUCCUGCUAAGAAACGAUCAACGUGCCAUGACACUUUCGUACGUUACAACUUUGAAAAUCUAAAAUAGUAUCGCAGAGACAUCUAUGCUCAGAUCAAUAUCUAAUGAAAUCUUCGCUAGGUUACGUCGAUAACACUAUUCCUCUACUAUACCGACCUUUAGCAAUGCGUAUCUGUAAUUCAGAGCUAAACUGAUACAACUCAAUCCACCGACGAGGUACUUUUUUUUUGUUAUUUUUCAACACAGCACAAUUAUUGUAAUUAUCACACAUAGAUUUUUGCAAUAUCUUAAUCCGGCUGCUAUCACUUUCAAUAAUUAAAGUGAUUUCAAAGUUCCAAUAGAGGUUAUACGCCAUACUUCUACCUAUUAUUUGAUUAAAUCUGGAUGUAAUCAUCGAUCGUCAAUGUACUAGUGAUUCGUUGCUAUUUCCGAUAUUACUAUGGAAUUAUUCGUCCAGCAUUCCGCAAUACCAAGGAAACGUUUACGUAAUGAAUAUCUAAGGUUCAUCAGGACGAUACUAGCGAGCAUGACGAAAGCGAGGAACACGACCCUGCUCGUGGCUGGUAGGAAGGAACUCCCAUUCUUCUCGUCCGAGAACAGAGCCCCGUACUCGUACUCACCCAUCAUCAUUACCACGGUCUUCACGACGGCCCUCCAGGAAUUGCGAAACUGGUCGUUCCCGUGGAACAAAACGGCGAAGCUGAACGCGAAUCCGACAAUCAGGCAGACGAACGCUAGGAGAACCUGAAAGGAAAUAAAAAGCCCCAGAUGCACGUUGUUAUAAUCGCGAAGUAGAGAGGGUGGUAGGGCUGUGCGAAGUAGGGGUAGGCAAGUGGGUCCUGAUGGGAGCCAUAUCACCGACCAGACAUUUAGAACCUUGCUUCUUCCUUCUUCCCCCUUUGGCUUUUCAUUUCUAACGAUAUUCGCCGAAGGGAAGAGCCUCGUCGCUCUCUUGUACCUUUCGUUUCGGCUAAAUGCAGGAUCUUUCGCCAUACAGACGGAAUUAAAAAAAAAAAAGAAAAAAGAAAA
Molecule: long non-coding RNA, 3175 nt
Organism: Bombus impatiens (common eastern bumble bee)
Lineage: Eukaryota; Metazoa; Arthropoda; Insecta; Hymenoptera; Apidae
Exons: 4
Source: RefSeq, a predicted model, not a curated record